RNAcentral lists this long non-coding RNA (220 nucleotides) under Vigna radiata. Its description in RNAcentral is "long non-coding RNA (VRAD_LNC013048)". The record is from RNAcentral. Lineage: Eukaryota; Viridiplantae; Streptophyta; Magnoliopsida; Fabales; Fabaceae.
AAACAAGAAUUGCAAUUUGCAGCAUCAUCAAAACUUGUCUUCAGGUUUUACCAAUACUCCCUUAUUGGUAACAAUCUCCCCCUUUUUGAUGAUGAUAAAAAAUCCUCUUUUAAAAGCAACUCAGUUUUACCUGCAAUACAUACAGACUAAAAAACAACCACAAAGUUAGCGGUACCUGUACAAUUGUAAAAUAUUUCUCCCCUUAAUUCUCCCCUUUAUA